RNAcentral lists this ribosomal RNA (564 nucleotides) under Lyomyces microfasciculatus. Its description in RNAcentral is "partial small subunit ribosomal RNA". It matches the Rfam family "Bacterial small subunit ribosomal RNA", at positions 413 to 951 of the family's 1533-position model. The record is from RNAcentral. Lineage: Eukaryota; Fungi; Basidiomycota; Agaricomycetes; Hymenochaetales; Schizoporaceae.
UUUUUACUCGCUAUCCGCCUCAUGGUGUGUCAUCAUUGAUAAAGUAAGGGAAAAGAAAUGAUAUUACCUUACUAUUAGUGUCGUCCAAAUACUCGUGCCAGAAGACUCGGUAAGGCGAGAGACGCAAACGUUAGUCGUCCUAAUCAGGCGUAAAGGGUUUGUAGGCGGCUUUAAGUAUUUAUUCCCUUAACUUGAAUCUUAUUUAAUAUAAGAGUAAAAAGUUAAGGAGUUAAAGGAUAAGUCAAUUAAAGCUAGAAUCAAGUAGAGGUUAAUUUAAAUAAUGUUUGAACAUAGGGUUGAUAUCUAUAGAAUUCAAAUGGAAUACUAACGGCGAAGGCUUUUUUCCAAUAAUGAUUGACGCUGAGAAACUAAGGUGAGGAAAGAAAAAAGGAUUAGAGACCCUCGUAUCCCUCACUGUCAACGAUGAAUGGUAGUUACUAGAAAUGUUAUUCUAGAGACGAUGUUAACACGAAAACCAUUCCGCCUUGUGAGUACGGCUGCAAAGUUGAAAACAAAAAAAUUAGUCGGUUUCGGAGCAAACGGAGUGAAGCAUGUUAUUUAAUA